GCUUGUCUCAAAGAUUAAGCCAUGCAUGUCUAAGUAUAAGCCUUUGUACGGCGAAACUGCGAAUGGCUCAUUAAAACAGUUAUAGUUUAUUCGAUAAUCAAUUGCUACAUGGAUAACUGUAGUAAUUCUAGAGCUAAUACAUGCAAAAAAACCCAGACUUACGAAUGGGUGCACUUAUUAGAUAAAGCCAACGCUGGGUAAAACCAGUUUCCCUUGGUGAUUCAUAAUAAUUAAGCGGAUCGCAUGGCCUUGUGCUAGCGACAGUCCACUCGAUUUUCUGCCCUAUCAUGGUUGAGAUUGUAAGAUAGAGGCUUACAAUGCCUACAACGGGUAACGGGGAAUUAGGGUUCGAUUCCGGAGAGGGAGCCUGAGAAACGGCUACCACAUCCAAGGAAGGCAGCAGG
RNAcentral lists this ribosomal RNA (404 nucleotides) under uncultured Mucor. RNAcentral describes it as "partial small subunit ribosomal RNA". It matches the Rfam family "Eukaryotic small subunit ribosomal RNA", at positions 30 to 432 of the family's 1831-position model. The record is from RNAcentral. Lineage: Eukaryota; Fungi; Mucoromycota; Mucoromycetes; Mucorales; Mucoraceae.